CGAACGUGGGUAACCUGCCCAUCAGAGGGGGAUAACAUUCGGAAACGGAAUGCUAAAACCGCAUAGGUCUUCGAACCGCAUGGUUUGAAGAGGAAAAGAGGCGCAAGCUUCUGCUGAUGGAUGGACCCGCGGUGCAUUAGCUAGUUGGUGAGGUAACGGCUCACCAAGGCCGUGAUGCAUAGCCGACCUGAGAGGGUGAUCGGCCACAUUGGGACUGAGACACGGCCCAA
Molecule: ribosomal RNA, 230 nt
Filed under: uncultured bacterium
Lineage: Bacteria
Description: partial 16S ribosomal RNA
Rfam family: Bacterial small subunit ribosomal RNA
Source: RNAcentral